GUAGUACUCCCUCCGUUCGAAAAUAUUGUCAUAGGAAUGAUUGUAUCUAGAUAUAUUUUAGUUCUUGAUACAUUCAUAUUUAUUCGUUUGUGUCACAAGUAAUUCCAGACUGAGGGAGUAGUUG
Molecule: non-coding RNA, 124 nt
Organism: Hordeum vulgare subsp. vulgare (domesticated barley)
Lineage: Eukaryota; Viridiplantae; Streptophyta; Magnoliopsida; Poales; Poaceae
Source: Rfam